Amblyraja radiata (thorny skate) is the source of this 450-nucleotide long non-coding RNA. RefSeq lists it as uncharacterized. The transcript is spliced from 3 exons. The record is from RefSeq and is a predicted model, not a curated record. Lineage: Eukaryota; Metazoa; Chordata; Chondrichthyes; Rajiformes; Rajidae.
AUAUAAGAGGAGUGCACUGUGUAUAGGAAGUUAACUAGUAUUGAGACGUUAACUGAGACCAAGGUACCCCCAUAUCUCACCGAAAGUCCACUUCAAAGUGGCUGAGUGAGAUACGGUGGAACCAAGGACUCUAGGUUAACCCUGAAAGAGUUAACAAGUAUUGAGUGUUAACCGAGACCAAGGUACUCCCAUAUCUCACAGAAAGUCCGCUUUAAAGUGGCCGAGUGAGAUACGGUGGAACCAAGGACUCUAGGUUAACCCUGAAAGAGUUAACAAGUAUUGAGUGUUAGCCGAGACCAAGGUACCUCCGUAUCUCACAGAAAGUCCGCCUUAGACUGGUUGUUAAGAGAGGAAAUCCUCCACGCGAAGGUCAGGAAUUGAAGUGACCGAGUGAGAUACGGCAGAACCAAGGACUCGCGGUUAACCCUGAAAUAUUGUGUGUGAUAUUAU